UCCAACACAUCAUUUAGAGCAUAUUCAAUGUUUUUCCAUUGAUUCCUGGACAUCCACUAUUUCCUGCUUAUGAGCAGUUCCUAGUGGAAUUCAUAAGCCAACCUUCCUCCCUCCCUUCGCUCUUUCACACACACAUAGCCUAAUUCAUGGAUGGAGUCACACAAGCAUUUCAGCCAUCCACACAACCUGAUCCUUUGCCAACCCUUUCAAUAAGGGCUUGACCAUCCAAUUCAAUGCUUCGAAUGCGAAUCCCAGGUCGAAGCGCCAUUGGACGUCUUCGCCUGCAUCUAGUGCAGCUACUUCCUUCAUUUGCA
Molecule: long non-coding RNA, 314 nt
Filed under: Eucalyptus grandis
Lineage: Eukaryota; Viridiplantae; Streptophyta; Magnoliopsida; Myrtales; Myrtaceae
Description: long non-coding RNA (EGRA_LNC004082)
Source: RNAcentral